RNAcentral lists this ribosomal RNA (484 nucleotides) under uncultured bacterium. Its description in RNAcentral is "partial 16S ribosomal RNA". It matches the Rfam family "Bacterial small subunit ribosomal RNA", at positions 28 to 523 of the family's 1533-position model. The record is from RNAcentral.
GACGAACGCUGGCGGCGUGCUUAACACAUGCAAGUCGAACGAUGAACCCGGAGCUUGCUCCGGUGGAUUAGUGGCGAACGGGUGAGUAACACGUGAGUAACCUGCCCUUGACUCUGGGAUAACUGCGGGAAACUGUAGCUAAUACCGGAUACGACCCUCGGCGGCAUCGCCAGGGGGUGGAAAGAAUUUCGGUCAAGGAUGGACUCGCGGCCUAUCAGCUAGUUGGUGAGGUAACGGCUCACCAAGGGGACGACGGGUAGCCGGCCUGAGAGGGUGACCGGCCACACUGGGACUGAGACACGGCCCAGACUCCUACUGGGGGCAGCAGUGGAGAAUAUUGCACAAUGGGCGCAAGCCUGGUGCAGCAACGCCGCGUGAGGGAUGACGGCCUUCGGGUUGUAAACCUCUUUUAGUAGGGAAGAAGCGAAAGUGACGGUACCUGCAGAAAAAGCACCGGCUAACUACGUGCCAGCCGCCGCAGUAA